UUAGAAUGCCAUGAGAAUGAUAACCUUGUAACUUGGUCAGGAUAGAAAUAUAGCAGCCAUAUCGAGAAGUAUUAUGUCUUGUGGUUUUUUUAUUAGA
RNAcentral lists this signal recognition particle RNA (97 nucleotides) under Metamycoplasma hominis. RNAcentral describes it as "Mycoplasma hominis signal recognition particle sRNA small type". It matches the Rfam family "Bacterial small signal recognition particle RNA". From Rfam's summary of the family: The signal recognition particle (SRP) is a universally conserved ribonucleoprotein involved in the co-translational targeting of proteins to membranes. Archaeal SRP consists of a 7S RNA and homologues of the eukaryotic SRP19 and SRP54 proteins. The record is from RNAcentral. Lineage: Bacteria; Bacillati; Mycoplasmatota; Mycoplasmoidales; Metamycoplasmataceae.